UCUAAGGGGACCGGCCAGCGGAAAGCUGGAGGAAGGUGGGAUGACGUCAAAUCCUCAUGGCCUUUAUGUCCAGGGCUACACACAUGCGACAAUGGUCGAGACAACGCGUUGCAAACCAGUAAUGGUAAGCUAAUCGCAUAAAUCGACCUCAGUACGGAUUGAGGGUUGCAAUUCACCCUCAUGAAGCUGGAGUUGCUAGUAACCGCAGGUCAGCUAUACUGCGAUGAAUACGUUCCCGGGGCUU
Molecule: ribosomal RNA, 244 nt
Filed under: uncultured Caldisericum sp.
Lineage: Bacteria; Pseudomonadati; Caldisericota; Caldisericia; Caldisericales; Caldisericaceae
Description: partial 16S ribosomal RNA
Rfam family: Bacterial small subunit ribosomal RNA
Source: RNAcentral